ACAUUAAUGUGCAGGCAAAAUCUAAGGAUCCAAACUUAUGACUCUUAAUUAGGAAACAAUUAUGGAAAGCAUUAAAGAUGAUGGUUUUAACAUUGAAGAUAAUAAUGUUAAUCUGAUUUAAUGCAAUGAUAGGGAUAAGAGGAAUAAUAUUUAAGAUUUGAAUGGUACAAUAAUAGGACAACAUGUGACAGAUAACAUGAAUGUAUAAAAAAAGAAAACAAAAAAGAUGAAUCUGGAUAAGCUGAUGAAGGAUAAAGGGGUGAGCGACCUUACCAGAGGGUUGAACUUGGGGAAGGGAUUGAACAAUGGAAGACUAAUUUUAGGAAAGAA
Molecule: long non-coding RNA, 330 nt
Filed under: Lathyrus oleraceus (garden pea)
Lineage: Eukaryota; Viridiplantae; Streptophyta; Magnoliopsida; Fabales; Fabaceae
Description: Pisum sativum (pea) long non-coding RNA (PSAT_LNC017001)
Source: RNAcentral